UACGGCCACAUCACAUUUAAACACUGGUUCUCAUAUAAUCACUGAAGUUAAGCAAUGUUGUGUCAGAUCAGUACCUAGAUAGGUGACCUGCUUAGGAAUACCAGGUGCUGU
Molecule: non-coding RNA, 111 nt
Organism: Acanthosepion pharaonis
Lineage: Eukaryota; Metazoa; Mollusca; Cephalopoda; Sepiida; Sepiidae
Source: the annotation of a GenBank genome assembly